GUCACCUAGGCCAGCCCCCUGCACAGAGGCAGAACCUAAACCAUCCCUGACACCAUCCCAGGUGUUUGUCUAAUCUGCUCAUAAAAAAACUUCCAAGGACUAGGAUUCCUCAACCUCAGUGCUUAACUAUACUUACAAUAGUCCCCCUCCCUCCCAAAGACGGUAUAGGGAGAAUAUUGAAGAUUUAUGGAAUUGGAAAUCCUUGACUACAGUGGUAUGAACAAUGAAGCUUUAAUAAUGGUUUUUAAAAUGAAAUACUGUCUGAAGAAAUACAGGAAUCUCCACAAAGGAUGCACUACCUACAUCUUUGUAAAGUUCCAGGGUUACUGGCCUAGUGCAAGGGGGAAAGCUGAAGAAUUGGAGUAAAUCUAAAGGAGAGCUACAGAAGAAAGAGGUCAAGCUUUCUAAACUUUUAAGAUGAGCAAAUAUUAUAAAAAAUGGAUAUGUUUAGUCUGCAGAAAAGCAUACCGGGGGGUACCUGGUAACAGUCUUCAAAUAUGUUAAGAGGAGUUACAAAAAAGAAC
This is a long non-coding RNA of Dermochelys coriacea (leatherback sea turtle), 524 nucleotides long. RefSeq lists it as uncharacterized. The record is from RefSeq and is a predicted model, not a curated record. Lineage: Eukaryota; Metazoa; Chordata; Testudines; Dermochelyidae. The transcript has 3 exons.